Molecule: non-coding RNA, 1237 nt
Organism: Pelobates cultripes (western spadefoot toad)
Lineage: Eukaryota; Metazoa; Chordata; Amphibia; Anura; Pelobatidae
Source: the annotation of a GenBank genome assembly
AUCAAAUAAUUUUUAUAGCAAGUACAUUUGUGUAGAAAUAGCAGUGGAUGGGAAAUUCAUAUGAAGACUUAGAAUUAUUUUUGUUUUUGUUAUAGAAAGAGUUACCGAUCACGAUUAUAUAACAUCACUGCGGGCUCAUUCAACCUUCUACUUCCCUGUAGAUUGCAGUACUAGGGGUUAAUCAUAUCAACUCAGCAAACCCCGUGCUCUGAUUGGUUGCUGGAAUCAAUGCUCUUAGCAUAUUUUCUAUUCUUUAUUAUUGGUUAAGACUAAAUAUUUAUGACCUGCUUCACACUAAAGUAAGUAUUAGCUAUUCAAGUGGUACUAUACUUUGUCUGCAUGAAAAUAUGUUUUUAUAGGUAAUAUUUUUAAAGUUUUGAAAAUUUCAAAUUUUAAGGCCCUAUUUAUUGAGUAGCCAUAGUUAGCUUCAUGUAGCCAUCCAUAAAGAAAUAGUGAUGGUCUAUAGUCCUAGAUGUUAUAAUGUCAUGUAAAGGAAUAUUUUGAAAUAAAGUAAGCCAAGCAAUGCAGUGGUCUGACACACACUGUGAUGAUGAUGACGGCAUUCAAUGGCUUAUCAUGUAAUCGCAUGACAUUACUGUACUAUGUUGCCAUCUGUUGAAGGGAAAUGGUCACAUCUCAGGAAUUACACCAUUGAUUACAACAUUAAAAAUAAAGCACCUAUAACUCGUUAACCUUUUUUUCUUGAGCUGCCCUGUUUUUUUGUUUUUUUUUAAAUUGUAAGAAAAUUCCUUGCACCAAAACCACUACAGCACACUUUUGUGGAUAUGGUGCCAGGAGUGCACUAGUGCCCCGUCAAUGUCAGUAGCCAACUAUUUUACAACGGUUUGACUUCUUACCUGUGGUCCACCAGCUGUCACUCCCUAUCUUAAAAGGACACUCCAGACCCUGAAAGCUCUUCAACUUGCUUAAGUACUUUAUGUGUGAGGAGUCUGUCAUCUUUUUUCAUGAAUCAAAAACUGCAGUUUUCAAUAGAAGUGGCACUUUUAAGAAUUAGCAUUGUUACUUUGCCCCUUCCCCCUCUCUGUCAAUCAGAUAACCGGAUCGGUUACUUCCUAGUUUGGUUAACUCUGUGAAGCUUAAAAACCAAGAGGCAGCAAUUGCCCAGAAUACCUGUCUUGCAAAGACUUCUCUUUGAGCUACACUGGGAAGUCUGUGAUAGAACAGCCACCAAAAGUCUUGGUUGGUUUAGAAUGGGAGGGCUUGUAAUGUCUGUUUU